AGAGGAAACCAGAGAGGGGACAAAUCUCCCAGACCUGUGGGAGGGAAGAAAAGAGACAACCUGAGCUGGAAGUAACCCUGGGCCAAUCCUAAAACCACGUGCAGAUCCACGGAGGACUAAUGUGGAACUGAAUUUUUCUAUACUGAGCAAUGACUUGAGAUCACUGACCUAAGGUUUCUACCUCCACAAAGAGCAGUAUUUCAGCUCACUCUUCUUGGUGAUGAAUAAAUUGACUUCCAACUAUGAAUAAUCUGAAAAUAAGCAUUUUGUGGACUCUCAC
RNAcentral lists this long non-coding RNA (280 nucleotides) under Homo sapiens (human). RNAcentral's name for it is "HSALNT0045728". Lineage: Eukaryota; Metazoa; Chordata; Mammalia; Primates; Hominidae. The record is from RNAcentral.